UACGGAGGGUGCGAGCGUUGUUCGGAAUCACUGGGCGUAAAGCGCGUGUAGGCGGCCCAUUAAGUCUGAUGUGAAAGCCCGGGGCUCACCCCCGGAAGUGCAUUGGAAACUGAUGGACUCGAGUCCCGGAGAGGAGAGUGGAAUUCCUGGUGUAGCGGUGAAAUGCGUAGAUAUCUGGAGGAAUACCGGUGGCGAAGGCGGCAUCCUGGACCGACAUUGACGCUGAGGAGCGAAAGCUAGGGGAGCAAACGGG
This 253-nucleotide ribosomal RNA is filed under the name uncultured bacterium. RNAcentral describes it as "partial 16S ribosomal RNA". It matches the Rfam family "Bacterial small subunit ribosomal RNA", at positions 524 to 776 of the family's 1533-position model. The record is from RNAcentral.